GAUGAACGCUAGCUACAGGCUUAACACAUGCAAGUCGAGGGGAAACGAUAGAGAAAGCUUGCUUUUUCUAGGCGUCGACCGGCGCACGGGUGAGUAACGCGUAUCCAACCUGCCCAUCACUUGGGGAUAACCUUGCGAAAGUAAGACUAAUACCCAAUGACGUCUCUAGAAGACAUCUGAAAGAGAUUAAAGAUUUAUCGGUGAUGGAUGGGGAUGCGUCUGAUUAGCUUGUUGGCGGGGUAACGGCCCACCAAGGCGACGAUCAGUAGGGGUUCUGAGAGGAAGGUCCCCCACAUUGGAACUGAGACACGGUCCAAACUCCUACGGGAGGCAGCAGUGAGGAAUAUUGGUCAAUGGACGAGAGUCUGAACCAGCCAAGUAGCGUGCAGGAUGACGGCCCUAUGGGUUGUAAACUGCUUUAUAAGGGAAUAAAGUGAGUCUCGUGAGACUUUUUGCAUGUACCUUAUGAAUAAGGACCGGCUAAUUCCGUG
This 491-nucleotide ribosomal RNA is filed under the name uncultured bacterium. RNAcentral's name for it is "bacterial SSU rRNA". It matches the Rfam family "Bacterial small subunit ribosomal RNA", at positions 28 to 507 of the family's 1533-position model. The record is from RNAcentral.